UAUGAACUUCACCGGACACCCAUCAUCCUAGGUAUGAACUUCACGGACACCCAUCAUCCUAGGUAUGAACUUCACCGGACACCCAUCAUCCUAGGUAUGAACUUCACCGGACACCCAUCAUCCUAGGUAUGAACUUCACCGGACACCCAUCAUCCU
Molecule: long non-coding RNA, 156 nt
Organism: Homarus americanus (American lobster)
Lineage: Eukaryota; Metazoa; Arthropoda; Malacostraca; Decapoda; Nephropidae
Exons: 2
Source: RefSeq, a predicted model, not a curated record